This 3585-nucleotide long non-coding RNA is filed under the name Equus caballus (horse). RNAcentral describes it as "lncRNA (ENSECAG00000054914.1)". Lineage: Eukaryota; Metazoa; Chordata; Mammalia; Perissodactyla; Equidae. The record is from RNAcentral.
AAUUUAAACAAAUACCUGCAGCUUUUUAGGCCCUCUGUGUAAAGUAACUUUCCUUUCCUCUUACUUGGAUAAAUUUCCUUAGCGAGGCUUAUUCUAGUCUGCUUUAGUCUGGACUGUUAGAACCUUUCAGUAGACUGGAAGAUCCUGCCCUUCCUAAGAAAUGGCUUUAGGUCCUCUUUUGUGUGGUUGAAACCAAAGUUCCAGUCACUAGUCUACGUUGAGUAUCACCAGAAGAAGGCCAGGAUGCCUUAAAUAUUAACUCACUUGCUUUCACUGACUGUAGAGCUAUAAAUUCAGAGAAUCUUUAUUAACUGGAGUCUAGUUUGACUUGAUUUACUUAACCUUAAACAUAUUUCUGAAACCCUGUGGCUUGUGGAGGGUGUAAUUCUGACAGAGAGGGCUCACAGAUCAUCUGAGUGAAGAAGUAAAACUUCUGAAAGUGGAAAGCAUUCCUUUGCAACAUUUCCAGCCAGUGAUUUGGACUUCCAUAAAUGGUAUGGGAAGUAAGAGCUUUGGGCCUUGACAUCCUUCCUAAGUAGAGAACUUUGAAUACAAAUCAAGCAGAAACUGAUUGGGACAAGUCAGAGAAAUCGGGGGAAGGACUGCAAAGCAGCAUUAAAUAAGAGGACACUUCAGUGCAUGCGGUCACAGUGCUCUUACUUUGGGGAUUUGUGUAACCUAGAUGCAUCAUGUUUCUGUUUCGGGCACAUUGCAGACUGCUGCUCAUACUUGGGUUCUAUGGAAAAAUUUAGAUCUGAGACCAACCUAGGAAAGGUCUUUUUUGCUGACCUCUCUCAAAUGCUUUAAAAAUUCACUUUUCUCAUAUAGUAGCUAGUAAUCUGAUCUCUGAAUGGAUAAUAUACCCCUUACCAUGGAGAUUACAGCAAAUUAGACUGAGAAAAACUAAAAUCUUGGAAUAUUGGAAGAAAGAGAUCCUCUAGUUUGAGGAUUUUUAAAGCUGCUUUUUUUAAGCAUCAAAAGUUUUUUCAAAUGGAACUUUAUUCUGAACUGCAAUAAAUGAUACAGGUAAAAGGGGAGCUGUUCUGGUUGUUGGGGACGUGGGAAGGAAGCAGGGGUUUCUGAAAGAAACCUGUGUGCCUCUUGGCCUCAUUUUUAUACUCGUGGAAAUGGAGGCCAAGCACACAAUGGUUCAUUAGAAGCCAAGGUGGCAUUCUUACAGCUGUUCCCCCACUGUUUCGGUUGUAAGGACACAGUCAUAAAAAUGACAAUUAGCAGGCAUGGUAUACAAAGGGAUUUUCUAUUUCACAGGCUGCAGGGAGGGUGUUUAAGCAUUUCUUGCUCUGGAUGAGCACUUGAUUUAGCUAGAGUAUUGAGUUCUGUGGGCAGUCAUGUGUGAAUCAUAUAGAGUAUUGUAAUAACCUAAUACAUUUUCUGCUAGUGCUCAUGUAGGGGGGUUUCUUUGGGCCAGUAAUUCCUGGGGGUGGGAUUGCUAGCUCAUAGUGUGCCAUUUUCUUUCACUUUUAGUUUCCCUUUGGAGUGGCUGUAUUUCCAUCAGCAGUGUUUGAAAGGGCUCAUGUCCUUACACCUUGCCAAUGUAGUGAUAGACUUUAGCUUUAGCCCAUCUAAUGGGUGAAAAAUAGGAUCCCAUUUUAUUUUACAUUUCCCUAUUUACUAAUGAGAUUGCUCACUUUUUCAUGUGUUUUGGUUGUUUGGCUAAUUGUGAAAAUUGCAUAUUCAUAACCUCUUCUCUUUUUUUUCCUAAUGUCUUUUCCUUUCAUAUUUUGAAGUAUUUUAUGAUGUAGAUCAACACUACAUAAAUAAACUAAUACGAUAACUAUCUGUGGUGAUGGAAAUGUUCUGUAUCUGUGCUGUACAUAAGGUAGUUACUAGCCACAUAAUGGCUAUUGAGCAGUUGAAAUAUGGCUAGUGUGACAAGGGGACUGAAUAUUUAAUUUUAAUUUAAAUAGCCACAUGUGGCUAGUGGCUUUCUUAUUGGACAGCACAGAUCUAGACAUUAAGGCUUAGCGUUGUGUCAGUCCUUUGUCUUUAGGAAGUUACAGAACUUAAUAUCCAUUUAUUGAGUGCGUACUAUAUGCUGUGCACCAACAACAGAUGAAAGAUGAUCUCAGACCUCAAGAACUCCACAGCCUAGUUAGGGAGAGAAACAAGUAGAUCAACAUUAGAGAUGAGCACAGAGAAGGGGCACCUAACCAGAAGGGUUAGGAAGUAAGGUUAAACGUAGGAGAUGGUCCUCGAGCUAAUAACUCUUGGAAUUGAGUAGUAAUUAGCAAAGUGGGAGGGAGAAGAAAAGAGGCAUUCCUGGAGCAUUCUCAGUGCAAAGGCCUGAAGCAAGAGACAGCAUAGCCUGUCCAAGGGACUGCCAGUGGUUCCAUGUGGUUGAAAUACAGCAUGUACUGGAAAUAGGGGAAAUGGGGCUGGACGGGCAGGCAGGGCCUGCCAUAGUGCUGAGAGCAUCCAUGUCUCCUUCAGGAAAGCUCGCCCCUGGAGGGUGACAACUUGGUAGUAACUAAGAACCAAGUGAGGUUCAUGAAAAAGGUGAGAGAGUUUUCCAUAGGGGAAAGCUAAGCAGUUUAGAAAAGAGUGUGGAAAAGAUAAGCAGAUUUGGAUACAGAGCCCUUAAGCCAACAUGUAGCGAGAAAUGAGACCACUUUGGAGUGGGCCUUAAAGUCUAUGGUUAAGAAUUUUCAUUCAGUGCAAAACAGUUGUGAACCAUUCAGCUUCAAAGGAAUGGCACAGUAAAAAUGCCCAUUUGUGUAAGUAAGGGGCAGAAGAGACUGGGAGGUAGGUAGAAAAACAGACUGUUGUGUAGGUUCUUGACUUGGGGUCUGUAUGUAUUAGUUUGCUAGGGCUGCCCUAACUAUCAGACUGGGUGGCUUAACAGAAAUUUACUUUCUCCAAUUGUGGAGGCUAGAAGUCUGAGAUCAAGGUAUUAGUAGCAUUGGUUUCUUCCAAGGUCUGUCUCCAUGGUUUGUAGAUGGCCAUCUUCUGGUGUCUUCACAUGUGUCUGAGUCUCCUUUUCUUAGAACGACAACAGUCAUAUUGGAUUAGAGCCCACCCUAAUGCCCUCAUUUAAACUUAAUUACCUCUUUAAAGACCCUAUCUCCAAAUACAAUCACAUUCUGAGGUACUGGGGGUUAGGACCUCAACCUGUAAAUUUUGAGGGGACACAAUUCAGCCCAUAACAGAGUCCAUGGAAGAGCUUCAGGGGCUUUGUGAGCCCCCGAGUGUGAAUGCUGAAUUUUGCACAAGUGUGCAUUUGUCUGAGGCAUGUCCACAGAAUGCAUCUGAUUCCUAAAGGGGUUCAUGAUCCCCACCCCCCUAACUGGCUAUUGCAUUAACUGACUCAGGAGGCAGUUAAAGCUGUGGGACAAAAAUGCCUAGAAAUACCAUACGCAUCGAUAAACAUGAUUUGGUGUUCAAUGGUACAUGAAAAAUGACAGUUGAAGCUGAGUACAGGACUGCAAGUCGUAGUGUGAGGCACUGGAAAUUCUGUUAGAACUGGUAUUGGGAGAAAAGGGGAUUUUUAUUUUUGGGCCUUAUUUGGAUUUCAUGGAAGAUUAUGUAAUUUCUAUGAUUGUCAAUAAAAAACACUGGUGAUUUUCC